This is a long non-coding RNA of Oncorhynchus tshawytscha (Chinook salmon), 348 nucleotides long. The record is from Ensembl. NCBI's taxonomy places the organism in Eukaryota, Metazoa, Chordata, Actinopteri, Salmoniformes, Salmonidae.
UAGGCAUUCGGUUCAACAGUGUGGUUAGGCAUUAGGUUCAACAGUGUGUUAGGCAUUAGGUUCAACAGUGUGGUUAGGGUUAGGCAUUCGGUUCAACAGUGUGUUAGGCAUUAGGUUCAACAGUGUGUUAGGCAUUAGGUUCAACAGUGUGUUAGGCAUUAGGUUCAACAGUGUGUUAGGCAUUAGGUUCAACAGUGUGUUAGGCAUUAGGUUCAACAGUGUGGUUAGGCAUUAGGUUCAACAGUGUGUUAGGCAUUAGGUUCAACAGUGUAGUUAGGCAUUAGGUUCAACAGUGGUUAGGGUUAGGCAUUCGGUUCAACAGUGUGUUAGGCAUUAGGUUCAACAGUG